This 253-nucleotide ribosomal RNA is filed under the name uncultured bacterium. RNAcentral's name for it is "partial 16S ribosomal RNA". It matches the Rfam family "Bacterial small subunit ribosomal RNA", at positions 524 to 776 of the family's 1533-position model. The record is from RNAcentral.
GACGUAGGGUGCGAGCGUUGUCCGGAUUUAUUGGGCGUAAAGAGCUCGUAGGCGGCUCGUCGCGUCGACCGUGAAAACCCGCAGCUUAACUGCGGGCUUGCGGUUGAUGCGGGCGGGCUAGAGUUCGGUAGGGGAGACUGGAAUUCCUGGUGUAGCGGUGAAAUGCGCAGAUAUCAGGAGGAACACCGGUGGCGAAGGCGGGUCUCUGGGCUGAUACUGACGCUGAGGAGCGAAAGCGUGGGGAGCGAACAGG